AAGACGCCUUAGACCACUCGGCCACGGCACCUCCAUGCAAUCCAUGCGAGAUCAAAUCGACCGUACAUACGAUACGCGUACUGUAUACACGGAUUGAAAGAAAUCAUGGCUGCCGAACAAAUACUCGAUUCGUACAAUGACAAAAUAUUUGAGAGGAUUGUACGAAAGGAAUAUCUCACACAUUGCUUAUUUGAGGAUGAUGAGGGGAUUAGUAGUACUCGUAAUUAAGCACACAAUGUCACAUGACCCACCGGCGGGACGAACGAACAGCGAGAUACGUACACACUCGACUCAAACACAUCAUUCCAUACCCAACCCCCGGUCGUAGCGGACCUGUUGUAAGAGAGCUGUCACAGUGCCUGGAUAGAUAACAAGAAUAAGGUUCUAGCCUUUUAUGCUCACAAUAAGGUAGCUCCUGAUCAUUUCCAUGUGGUUUCCAAGAGAUGGAUCUCAGGCAUGUCAGAUGUAAAAGAGACUGAUAUAAUGAUUCUUGGUAAGAUGAUAUUCACUGCUACGAAGGUUGCCGAGCAAUUGGGAAUGGACAGAAAUGGUUAUCGUGUAGUGGUGAAUUGUGGUAAACAUGGCUGCAAUGGUUACUCUUGCUUGAAUAUCCAUGUCAUAGGUGGCAUGUUUCUUGGAUGGCCUCCAGGCACCUAGUAGGUGUAAUAUGAUUCAUUUUUGUGAGUUUCAACAGGUAGUUUAUCAAAAUAUUGGUGGUAAUGUUAAUUGAAGUGGGCUUAUAAUAAUCAAUAAUCAUGUAAUAUUUCAUAAAGUGCUUAAUACCAUGUUUCUUUAAUAAGUGAAACAUUUUAUUAUCCAAUUUUUAAUGAUGACUGCUAACGAUCAGGUAACAUAGUUGCUAUAUUUAAUUUACAUUAUUAUUUUAGUAUAAGUAUUUUGUAACAUUAUUUCUUCCUCCUGAUCCAGAAGUUAACAGAAAAUUCUGUAAAAAUGGCAAGAUAUUGGCAAUAUUUAGCCAAUUUCAAAUUCAUAUUUUCUGUCUGCCAUUUGUGUAUGAAUUUUGCGAUACAUUUUAUGUGAAUGUUCUUUCUGUGCAUAACUUUCCAGACUUCCGCAGUUGUAUCAGUGCAGGUACAUGUAUUUAAAACCUCUCACAGAAUUCUUUUCAAUUGAAGCAAAUAAUCAAUGUUUAUCAAAUCCAUGUAGAUAUGUUUGUAGAGGGAGCUUUCCAGACGAGAUUUGUAAACGUUGAUUGGUAAAGAGCCUCUCUAAGAUAAUGGGAAUGUGUCAAAAGUAAAUUGUAUAUAAUAUUUGAAUUUAACUUGCUAUUUGUGUGGACUGAGCCUUUAAGAAAAAUCAUAUGUGAUAACUUUGAAAUAGACUAAGGCUUGUAUUCAUACAACCUUUAAUCAUACUUAUUUUUGUUUUUGCAACUUAUACUCUUUCUACUGACUUCUCUUUUGGUUUUGUUUUUAAUAGAAAAAAAAUUGAAGGAAAACAAUUCUGAAUAUAUAAUCAAAAAUAUACAAUCAGAAAAGGCGUAAAUAUUCUUUUAGAAUGCAAAUGCUGUUAAAACAAACACCAACCAACCAACAGCAUAUAUUAUUGUAGCAAGAAUUAAUGUACAAUAGAUGAUUUUGUCAUUGUGAUAUUGUUGGGGUAUGGUUAAAUUUUUAUUAUCCAUGAUGUCUCAUUUAAAGAUUAAUCAUACUUCAUGCAUUCAAUUGUAACUUUGGUCUUGUCUGUUUCUAAAACUCUAGCAUCCUGUCAUUUGUUUAGAAAAAAAGAAACAAUUUAUUUUUAGUUGGUACAUUUUCUUGUAGGGUUAAUGAAAUAUAAUUCAAUGGAUACCAUGCAAGGUGUUUGUGAAGAAAGAAUUUUGUAUGGAACUGCCAUUUUUGUCUCGCCUGCAUAGCGCAGAGCGAGACUGGAGUGGCGGCGUCAACAUCAAAUUUUAACCAAUGAUUAAGUUUUUUAAGUGACAUCAUAACUAAGAAAGAAUAUGGACCUAGUUCAUGAAAUUUUGACGUCAAAUAUGUUGGGAGAACCAACAUCAAAAUCUUAACGUAAGGUUAAGUUUUUAUAAUGGUAUCAUAACCUAAAAAUGAUGUAAGGAUAGGAUUACUAAAUAUCCUGCCUGAGUUUCAGGUCACAUGACUUAUGUCAAAGGUCAUUUAGGGUCAAUGAACGUUGCCCAAGUUUGAGGUAUUUGUUGAAUUACCAUCAUAAAUUUAAAAGUUUAUGGAUCUAGUUCAUAAAACUUGGACAUAAGAGUAAUCAAGUAUCACUCAAAAUCCUGUGUGUGUUUCAGGUCACAUGACUAAAGUCAAUGUCAUUUAAGGUCAAUGAACUUUGGCCAUGUUGGGGUAAUGGUUGAAUUGCCUUCAUAACUUUGUAAGUUUAUGGAUGGAUAUACAGUAUGUAAUUAAUAACAUGUGGACAUAAGGGUAAUCAAGUAUCAGUAACAAGUCUUAGGUCACAUGAUCAAGGUCAAAUGUCAUUUAGGGUCAAUGAACAUAUGCAUGUAUAUCAUUAUGUGAAUGGUUUGUUUUGUGAAUAAUUAUUUUAUAGUAGUUUUCAGAGUCAUCACUGCUGCUAUAUUGAAUCAUGUAAUGCAGGCAAGACUGCUAAAGGCACUCCACUUGUUUACUAGCUCUAGCUGAUAGGUGACAUGGAGAUCGAAGGCUGUCCAUUAGAAAUCCAUUUUUUGUCAAAGACCAUCAUAUUAAAGGUUGUUUGUUGUAAUAUACCCUUUUAUGACAAUUAACUUUACAUCUCUAAGGGUGUGUUCAAUCAUGGACCUAUUAGAGAUGGACAUUCAACGCUAUCAUUUCUUUGAUCGAACAAGAUCCGCCGCCUAGUGAUUAUGUGCAUCUUAAUGAAAACAAUGGCGACUACCAAGGCGUAUCUGAUGAUUUACAAAGGUACAACUUUCCUGGUUUUGGAUUGUUUGGCUGAUGCCCUGUGUAAGAAAAUAUUUUUCAGUCAACAUGCUUAAGAUUUAAAGAAGCAAACAAUUUUAUGACAUACAAAUGUUAUUAUUUGAUCCGCAUACUUCUGCACGCACAUAAUAACCUCAAUAACAUUGAGAGAUAAAUGCUCUCUACUUGUUAUGAGCCAUGUAUCUCUGGAAUAUUAGGAGAAAAAUUUGACAAAAAUGGGGUUAUAAAUAAUAAACAAUUAAUCUCAGUUUGCAUCUAUCUUAAAAUACUGUAUACAUACAUUUUCCCAAAUAAAACACAUGGAACUAAGAUUGUCAAAGGUAAACCAGAACUGCAGAUUGAUUUUCCAGGAUUUAGGUAAUUUAUCAUCGUAUGCGCAUACAGUUUGUGCAAUAUCAAUGUCUAAUCACGAACUGCUUCUUUAAACUAAUUGACGGCGGAACACGGUAGGAUGAAAGUAGAAAAAUAUGAAGAGAAUGUUGUUCAAAGCACAAAGAUGGUCACAUGUAAGUGAAAUCAUUAUCUAUUUAAUGAAUGUCCAUCUCUAAUAGGUCCAUGGUUCAAUGUAAAUUUUUCAAAUUUAAACAGCAACAUGAAUCAUGAUUAGAAACAUGAUUAUAGAACACUAACAAGAUCAGGUUGCACCAUUCAGUGUCAAAAAUAUAAAGCUGUUUAUACAUGUACAUCAGUUGUCUUAAAUUUCCCACUCUCUUUUUGUCUCGCCCACCAGAGGUGAAGGCGAGACAUAGGGAUCCAAAUGUCGUCUGUCGUCCGUCCGUCACAAACCUUAUGACACAAAACUCCGCAACCGUAAGUCACUUUUCGACCACACUUUGAUGAUAGAUGUACUUGGGGGACCUGCAUGUUAUGCUGCAGUUGGAGGUCACAUGGUAAGUCAAAGGUCAUUUUCAGGUCAAUGUUAAAAUUUACAUGAAAGACUCUCUUAUGACACCUAACUCCGCAACCGUAAGUCACUUUUCAACCAAACGUGGAUGGCAGAUGGACUUAGGGGACCUGCUUGAUGCGCUGCAGUCAGAGGUCACAUGGUAAGGUCAAAGGUCAUUUUCAGGUCAACGUUAAAGUUUACAUGCUAGACGCUGUUAUGACACCUAACUCCGCAACUGCAUGUCACUUUUCACCCAAACUUUGAUUGUUGAUGUAGUUAGGAGACCUGCAUGUCAUGCUGCAGUCGCAGGUCACAUGGUAAGGUCAAAGGUCAUUUUGAGAUCAACAUUACAGUUUACUUGCAAGACUCUUAUGACAAGUGUUAUUCUAUCCCAGUCAUUUCACAAUGAAACAAAAUCGCUUAUACCUUUUGUUGCAUUCGCGAUGUUCAAGGUCAUAACAAUAUGAGCUGAUUGCAUUUCCAAACGUACCUUUUUCAGCAUUUGAAAUUUCCUCUGAAUCAAGAUCUGAAAGACAUUUACUUAUACAACUAGAAAUGGAGGACAUUGAAUAUCCACCAUUUUCCCCCAUAUUCAAGUUUUGUAAUCAUGUUUUUAAUCAUGAUUCAAGCUUCUGUUUGAACUUGAAAAUCGACAUUGAACACACCCUAACUCUGAGUGCAAUUUACAUGUAACUCGGGAUAUUAAUCCAGUGUCUUAACCUGCAUUUUAUGGUGCUGUCAAUAGUCAUGCUACAGUUAUAGGUCAUUUCAGGCCAUGUUUGCUAGCAGAACUAUAUCUGAACCUAUAUAAUAUUGUAAGCUUCUGGUUUCAACAAAACUUGAAGUAGUGGUAGAGUAAGUACAGUAUCGUUCAUGACGUGCCAUAGAAAGUCAGAUGUUUAGAUCAAUGGUCACCUGAAAGACUUUCUUUUUAAUGUUUUCCUCCUCAGAUGUAGUUUGGAUUAUCAUAAUUUUUGGGUUAAAACAAAGGAAGAAACUUUCAAAGCCUGCUUAGAUUGGAAAUCCCCAUGCCAUUGUUAAAUUACAUUAAAACCUGAAAAAUCUCA
Molecule: long non-coding RNA, 4856 nt
Organism: Lytechinus pictus (painted urchin)
Lineage: Eukaryota; Metazoa; Echinodermata; Echinoidea; Temnopleuroida; Toxopneustidae
Exons: 4
Source: RefSeq, a predicted model, not a curated record